GGACGUGGAAGAGACCACGAGCUCUCAAGCAGGGGGGAGUCCACGGGUGAUGCGGCGGAGUCUGUGGUUACUUGGGCCGGACGUUCCCGUGAGCCUUUGCCAGUACCACCCUCGCCCGUGGCGAAUGGGACGUUCCAUCCCCUUAAGGGCCAGGGGCGCAGCGCCGUCAGUCUCUCGGCUUAGUGUUUGCCGUGCCGGUAGGUGUUUGUGUCUGCGGCCAGGGGCUGCGGUGAGGGCAAGUAGCGCUCUGCGGUCGUGACUUCUGGGGGCGCCCCUUCUCAGGAACUCGAGGUGCCAGGAACCCGGUCCCAGUUUCCCCCACCUGCCAUGCGUGCGCAAAUGCGGGGGGCCAGAGUGGGAAGCUCACUGCAGGGUACUGACGGGAGCGACAUCCCACCUUGAGGUCUCAUGCUAGUGAAGGAUUGCCAGUAUGUGGUCAGCAGUUUGAAAAAGCAAGGAGCAUUGGCCUGUGGGGUUUUAAGUGCUGGAGAAUGUGAAUGAAUGAGCAAUGCAGAGCUUUGAGUUGGGUUGAAAAGCAGCUCAACAAACCAAGAGGCUGCUUUGGCAGAGGAUGGCCAUCCAUGGCUCAGGAGGAAGCAGUUUGAAAUCUCAAGAGGAUCAGUAGCCACCAUCAGUCAGGACUCUGAACAUUCUGGUUUUUCUAGUGCUUCAUGCUCAGCAGGAGCUUCUGUAUCUCUCAGUACUAUGUAAAGUGACCCAAAGACAGGUCUGAGUUCUGUAAGCUGGAAACUUAUUUCCUUUGCAAACUAAUGUUCUGUUAUUUCUAUAAAUUUAAUACUGUAAUAAAGCACAAUCUCUGGUAUUGG
This is a long non-coding RNA of Condylura cristata (star-nosed mole), 827 nucleotides long. RefSeq lists it as uncharacterized. NCBI's taxonomy places the organism in Eukaryota, Metazoa, Chordata, Mammalia, Eulipotyphla, Talpidae. The transcript has 6 exons. The record is from RefSeq and is a predicted model, not a curated record.